This is a long non-coding RNA of Pipra filicauda (Wire-tailed manakin), 567 nucleotides long. RefSeq lists it as uncharacterized. NCBI's taxonomy places the organism in Eukaryota, Metazoa, Chordata, Aves, Passeriformes, Pipridae. The record is from RefSeq and is a predicted model, not a curated record. The transcript is spliced from 2 exons.
CGCAGCCGCCGCUCCUGGCUCAGCCGCACGUCGGUGCUCAGCGCCUCCAGCCGCCGCCGGUACCGGCCCCCGGCACAGCGCAGCGCGGAGCGAACCAGGCGGUGCCGCAGCGCGGGGACAGCCACGGCCACGGCCACGGCCACGGCCACCGCCGCCGCCACCGCCAGCGCCGGCAGCAUCCCGGCACCCCCGGAGACCCCCGCCCGGCAGGCCGAACCAGGACCCCCUGCUCCCCCAUUAAGAGGAAGUUCCUUCUUGGGAAAAACCGGGCAAUCGGUCCGGUUUGCUUCACUUUUUGCCUGCAAAAAUGGCUCCAGCCCCAUCCCCAUCCCAUCCGCUGCUCUCUAGGGCAGAGCCCUCUGGAUCCGUCCUGCAUGUGCCAGGGGAGGCCCGAUCCCCCUGCCCUCAGAGACGGGGACCUCAAACGCUGGGCCUGGCCCCAGCAUCCAUCCGGUACACCAGCUGGAAAUGGAGAGCAUGCAGCCCCCUGGAGGGACCUGCCUCUGCCCGAAGACACACUUGGAACCCAGAGCUUUUGUGUUAUAAAAAUAUUCCGUGCUUUAUUUA